GAUGAACGCUGGCGGCGUGCUUAACACAUGCAAGUCGAACGAUGAAGCCCAGCUUGCUGGGUGGAUUAGUGGCGAACGGGUGAGUAACACGUGAGUAACCUGCCCUUAACUCUGGGAUAAGCCUGGGAAACUGGGUCUAAUACCGGAUAGGAGCGCCUACCGCAUGGUUGGUGUUGGAAAGAUUUAUCUGUUUUGGAUGGACUCGCGGCCUAUCAGCAUGUUGGUUAGGUAAUGGCUCAACAAGGCGACGCCGGGUAACCUGCCUGAGAGGGUGACCGGCCACACUGGGACUGAGACACGGCCCAGACUCCUACGGGAAGCAGCAGUGGGGAAUAUUGCACAAUGGGCGAAAGCCUGAUGCAGCGACGCCGCGUGAGGGAUGACGGCCUUCGGGUUGUAAACCUCUUUCAGUAGGGAAGAAGCGAAAGUGACGGUACCUGCAGAAGAAGCACCGGCUAACUACGUG
This 466-nucleotide ribosomal RNA is filed under the name uncultured bacterium. Its description in RNAcentral is "partial 16S ribosomal RNA". It matches the Rfam family "Bacterial small subunit ribosomal RNA", at positions 28 to 507 of the family's 1533-position model. The record is from RNAcentral.